CCUACGGGUGGCAGCAGUAGGGAAUUUUCGGCAAUGGGGGGAACCCUGACCGAGCAACGCCGCGUGAGCGAAGAAGUUAUUCGUAAUGUAAAGUUCUUUUAACAGGGAAGAAAGAGAAAUUUGACGGUACCUGAAGAAUAAGCUCCGGCUAACUACGUGCAAGCAGCCGCGGUAAUACGUAGGGAGCGAGCGUUAUGCGGAAUUAUUGGGCGUAAAGGGUGCGUAGAUGGAAUAGUAAGUCUUUGGUAAAAAUGCGGGGCUCAACCCAGUAGGGCAAAAGAUACUGGAACGCUAGAGUGUGACAGAGGCAAGUGGAACUAGUGGUGUAGCGGUAAAAUGCGUAAAUAUAUGUAAGAACACCAGUGGCGAAGGCGGCUUGCUGGGUCGAUACUGACAUUGAGGCACGAAAGCGUGGGGAGCAAACAGGAUUAGAUACCCUUGUAGUC
RNAcentral lists this ribosomal RNA (446 nucleotides) under uncultured bacterium. RNAcentral describes it as "partial 16S ribosomal RNA". It matches the Rfam family "Bacterial small subunit ribosomal RNA", at positions 338 to 795 of the family's 1533-position model. The record is from RNAcentral.